RNAcentral lists this long non-coding RNA (619 nucleotides) under Homo sapiens (human). RNAcentral's name for it is "HSALNT0151143". The record is from RNAcentral. Lineage: Eukaryota; Metazoa; Chordata; Mammalia; Primates; Hominidae.
UUUUCUGAGCCAAAACAUAAAUCUUGGUGGAUGGAAAGAAGAUGAGUAAAAGAGAAAAGGCAGAAAAUAAGCCCCGCUAAGAAAGAGAAAGGAAAUAGAACCACCACCAAUAAGGAGAUUAAAAGGAAAUUCAGCAUCUGUACUUCAGAGUUCAAAAUGUAUUAGAGAUCCCAUUGCAGUUAAAGGUCGAUGGAUUCAACAAUGUGCAGCAGCCCUUCAAAGAAUACAGACUGUGGUUUCCUCCUGGGAUGACUUCACCAGGACCCUUGGCAACAGUGCUGGUGGAAAGUGGAAAGAAACAGUUACAUGAGCCAUAGAUGGCAGAAACAGUAGGUGGGAAAUUCAAGAUUCAAGAACUUAGUAAUAAACUCCACAUACAGAGAAAUUCUCUGCUGUGGGAAGAAGGGAAGAGGCUUGUUUGCCAAAAUAGAACUCACAUUUAGGCAGCAGGUAUAUGAAGCCCUGAAACUCCUUGGGAUCCCUAUGUUCAAAUGCCAAAGCAACUGUGACCAACUUUUGCCAUAUGGCAAAAAAAGACACUCUCUUGGCCUCCUUUUUCCACCAGCAAUGGAAAAGAAAAGAAAUAACAAUAAUAAAGAAAGAAGAGGUUGGUGUUUUC